GUGCACGUACAUGCUUGACUCUCAUGCAUGCUUCCGGAAGGGUGUUUAUUAAUUCAGGAGUGCCUACUAUGUGCUAGGCGCCACGCCAGGUGGAGGGAAUUCAGCAGUGACAGAGACAGGCAAAGCCUCUGCUGCUCGGAGCUGACAUUCAGAAGGGGAGAUGCCUGAGGAAAAGCAAAUGAAUCCAUUAUACAUUGUAUCCAAAGGUGCUAAGUGCUGGAAGAAAAAAUAAAUCAGGAAAGGAAGACAGUGUGUACCACUGGGGUGGGGAGGCCCCAGGCAGGAAGCUGACAUGUGAGCAACCACCCAACAGAGGUGAGGGAGGGAACCAUGUGGUAUCUGGGCAGAAACGGAACGGGCAGAAGGUGCAGCCUGUGCAAAGGCCCUGGGGUGGGAACACGCCUGGCGUAUUCAAGGACAAGAAGGAGGCCAGUAUAAGGAGAAGGAAUGGGGGGGGCAGUACGGGCAGGGACGUGGUGGGAGCCUGGAGCGGCUGCAGGAACAGGAGAUCGAUACCAGGAGUUGCCUCGGGCGGCGGUGGUGGGGCUGGGAGCUGGGGCUGCGGUGGGGGCGACUACUUUAACCAUGUCCCAUGUGAACUGUGUAAAGAUGCAUAACGAAAGCUCUUUCUUUUUUUUAAGCGUGGACAUCUGGUUUUGGACGUCCCUGCGUGCGCUUCUGGGUUUUUUCCUGAGAUUCAAGGAGGUCUCCUUUCCGGCAUCUUUGCGCCACAUUUGCUGUUUCUCAGCCUCCCGGAGAAUGUCAGGAAUUAGCCCCUGGGUGGCCUGACCUCCCAGCUGGGCCUGGGAAGCCGAGAACAGACCCUGCCUUCCCAGGGCGGCGGCCGUGCCCGGCUGUCGGGAUGCGGGAGGAGUCCGCACGCAGGGGCUGCGGCCCCCGGCCCUCGGAGCGGCCCUGGCCUGCGUGGCCCGUGACGGCCCAGAGCUCAGGCCUCUGGUCAAGCACAGAUCAGAACCCAGAGGCCUGUCCGCCGCCGGCGAGGCCUGUGGUCUUGGAGUCGAGCACGUGGGUCCCUCCUGGGUCCCCUCUGGCUUCUGCCCGACGGAGCCAAUAAUAAUUCUCACUCUAAAAAUGUCCAAGUGGCAGGUUCGCCUGACUCCGAGGGGCCCUCCAGGCCUUUUAGUGCCCUUGUUGACGGCCCCACACUGUGUGCACACGGCCCCAAAAUCCCGGGGGAGGCCCCAGGUAGCAGGGAAAGCAAGUUGAAAUGGAAAGAAUCCACAGUUUUGAACCAGAUCUGGAUUCUGACACCUCAUUCAGUCACUCAACAAACGUGUCUCAGGCUGGCCCUGGGACCCAGCAGUGAAUGGGACGUGCGUGGAGCCGGGAGUCCAGGGUGUGGAGAGAGGGCCCGGCCGUCCGUCCGGGCGCCCUGCAGCAGGGUCAGGCUGUGGAACUGGCCUCUGGGGGCAGUGCCUCAUUCAGAGGGCAGAGGCCACUUAAUGCCCUGCGUGGAGCCCCUUCCCUUCCGGGCGGGACUUGGGGAGUCAGAAAACAGACAAGUGAAGAAAGAAUAUGGUGAAAAUGUUGGUUUUUGCCACAAAGGUAGCAACCUGGGCACCGAGAGAGCGAGAGAGCUGGAGGGAGGGGAGAGAGACAGGUCUGAGACGGGGUGACCAGGGAGGGAGGGCUUCCCGAAGGAGGUGACACUGAAGAUGGCGUCCAAAGGUUGAGAAGGAGGAGCCAGAAGGUGCGGGAACAGCAGUCUGGGGGAAGGAAGAGCAGACACAAAGCCCAGGCCGUGGGAAGUGACUUGGUACGUUCAGAGAAUGGACAACAGGCCAGCAUGGCUGGGGUGUUAGGAUGGGCAACUCGCUUCACCUCCCUGAGCCUCAGUUUCCCUCGUCUGUAAAAUGGGCCACACUCCCUGCCUGGCCAACAUCACCGGUGCUUCUGGGAAUCCAGUGAGUUGACACAGUCCAAGACCCUCCACAGGCCUCAAGAGCUGGGGCCUUCCGCAUCUCACAGAGCGCUCUCCAAGAGCCCUUUAAGACGGGCCGCGGGCUCGGGAGCCUCUCCCAAGGUCACUGAUCUAGAUGGGCUGUGUGGCAGGAUGGUUAGGUACACAUACCAUGGAACCAGACGGCCGGCUGUGUGGCCUUGGGCAAGUUAUUCAACCUCUCUGAGCCUGUUUCGUAAUCUGCACAAUGGGGAACAGACCCUCUCUUGUAGGAUUACUGUGAAAAUCAUGAAUUAAUGUGCGUAAAGCAGGCACUGCCAGGCACGUAGUAAGCGCUUUAUAAGCGUAAGCUACUUUUCGUUCUCGCUGAGGCGCCCGGUAACCUGAUAAAACUGGAACUACUACCGUCCCCACCACACACAUGAGGAAACCAAGGUUCGGGAGGCACCACCAGCCCAGGCCAUCACCUGGGAAGCGAGACACCUUUGAGCCCAGCUCCAUCUGGCUCCGGAGCCUUCUCUGCACCAUCCCGGAGGUCCAGAUGGGUCACUGUUGUCGCUGUCAUUUCCACUGCUCAGAAGAGGCCUUCAGGCCAGCGAUGGAGUAAGCAGCCACAGGCGACACAGGGUUGAUGUCCCUGUACCCAAAAAUAUGGCUCCCUGGCCCCCCUGUGGAAUGUGGUCGGUUUGAAUUGUCAAUGUCAUCGCACCUGCCAUCCCAGGAUGCUCCAUUUCGCUAGACUAUGUUGCCGGGACCAGAAAAGCAAGACGGAUGCAGCAGGGAAGGGGAAGGGCCUGGGUGGCUUCCUCAAACACAUCUGCAGUGCUGCCUCAGGGCCCUUGCACUGACUGUUCCUUCCACUUGAAAUGCUUUUCCCCAGAUGGCCCUACCUUGCUCUCUGGCCUUCCCUGUCCUUGAUGAAAUGUCGUCUGCCCGCUCUGAAAGGAGCCCCUCUCGAAGCUCCAGUCCUCGGCUCCUGCUCUUUCUCCUGGAACUCACCACCUGGUGUCCUAAGCCAACCCCCCCACCCAGGGGGGAGGCCCCACAGGGAGAGGUGACGUGUGGGGACACGGGCGGCAGCCGAGGAGGACCCGCCCCCAGAGGUCCCUAGGCUUGGCUGGGCCCAUCCCCCGCCAGCUGGGAGCAGCGCCCGGCGGGCUGGGCGUGGGGACAAGCCCGGGCCAGGUGAGGGGCGGGGCGUGCGCACCUGUGAGGCAGUUCCCGGCUGGAGGGGAAAUUUCGGUUCGCGCUCCUGGGCCUCCUUUGAAGCUAUUUAUGGAACGGGACACGCCGGAGCCCCUUGGCCUCCACUCUCAAGGCUCUUGGAGUCCAAGCCGCGGUUUCUCCCCAAAUUAAGAUGGAAAGCUGCUCAAGAGGACUGCAUCUCAAGACCCCGUCCCAGAAGCUGGUGGGGAAGGACCGGGCGAGCCCUCUGCCCAGGACAGCCAUGUGAGAGGUGCUCCUAAGAGUGGGGCGCUGGCUGAGCGUUAGGCACACGGGACCUGUCCCCCCUCCUACCUUGAUCAGCCACAUGGCAGGUGAAGAAACCGAGGCUCAGAGAAACACAGCAACUCGGCCCAGCGCGCCCAGCACAGAAGCCAGCGGCAGGUGCAGCCCGCACAACGUGCCAAACCCCCCAUUGGCCAGAAUUGGGUCACGUGCCCAUCGGCUCACUUCAGACCAAUCAGGGCCUUCCCUGGAGCGGGGGGCGGGCCCAGCCGCCCGUGGGGCUCACAGCUGGUGGAGCGGUGGGAACCCCAACAAAAUCGGGGUCCCUCCGGCAGGGUGGGAACCCGCAAUGUCCCCUCCAGCGGUCUCUUCGGACGUGUCAUCCGCGGGUGAGGCGCUCUUCAGUGGGGAGCUUUUUAAUAGGUUUUAGACGGACCUUUUUAAGAGUGAUUACUUUUUAUAAUAGUUGUUAUAACCUUUUAUUUGUGGCAAGUGAUCCCGAUUUUCCUUUUAUGAUAGCUGUGCAAUUUCCUUUUAAAAAUAAGUUUAGAUCCCAUCUUUCUGAACUUUGAAAUAGUUACACGAGAAAAUAAAAUUUAAAAAGUUCAGGCAAAUUCUCAUAUACUUUCCAGCCACUUUGGAAAAUGCUACCUACCGUGUCUGAACCCGUGCCCACGUUGUGACCCCACGAUGUGUCCCGCGUCCGUGUGUUCAUCAAAACACGUGCACAAGGGUGUCCGCACAAGUUUAUUCACUACAGCCCGGAGGAAAAACCGCCCCAAUGCCCGUCCACCCAGAGUGAAUAGAGAAAUUUUGUAUAUUUACCCCACGGAAGACUAGAGCACAGCUACCCAUAGCACGGCUGAAACCAGACACGAAAGGGUCCAGACGGUACGACUCUAGUGACUUAAAACCCCAAGUCAGGCAAAAUUAACAUGCGGUCAGAAGUAGGGUAGUGGUCACCUUUGGGGGUAGUGAUUGGAAAAGAGGUCCAGGAGCGGGGCGCCCUGGGGGGGCUGGGAAUGUCCUGUUUCUCUUUUUUUAAAGGUUGGCCCUAAGCUCACAUCUGUUGCCAAUCUCGUGGGUUUUUUUCUUCUCCCCAAAGCCCCCCAGUACAUAGUUGCAUAUUUUUAGUUGUGGGUCCUUCUAGUUGUGGCAUGUGGGAUGCCGCCUCAGCGUGGCCUGAUGAGCAGUGCCGUGUCUGCACCCAGGAUCCAAACUAGCGAAACCCUGGGCCGCCAAAGCGGAGCACGCGAACUCAACUACUCGGCCAUGGGGCCGGCCCUGCCAUAUUUCUUGAAGUCGGUGCUGGUUAUUCCGUGUUCAUUUUAUGAAAAUUCUUUAAGUUGUGC
Molecule: long non-coding RNA, 4722 nt
Organism: Equus caballus (horse)
Lineage: Eukaryota; Metazoa; Chordata; Mammalia; Perissodactyla; Equidae
Source: Ensembl